RNAcentral lists this long non-coding RNA (1885 nucleotides) under Coffea arabica (coffee). RNAcentral describes it as "long non-coding RNA (CARA_LNC002045)". The record is from RNAcentral. Lineage: Eukaryota; Viridiplantae; Streptophyta; Magnoliopsida; Gentianales; Rubiaceae.
UCCUGAUUAAAUUCAAAAGAAGCCCUUUUUUUUGGGUGGUAUCAGGUGUGUACUAGAUUUAAGACUGUUUUUUUACUGUCAAUACGAUCUAUAUUGCAUUUUUUGUCACUUUGUCUUGAAACGCAAGUCAUGGAUGAUUAGAUCAUUUCUUGAGGAAAGUAUGUUUAUCACAUGACCUUAUGAACAUUUGAUUAGUUAGUUGCAGUUACUUUGAAGCUGGAUUAGUUUCACUUGCUACUUAUAUUAAUCUGCAAGAAAAUGCUUUUUUUCAUGUUAUGAAUAGAGUGAUUCAGUGGUUAAUUUCUUGUUUUAAUGUUGCUGAUCAUGGAAUGCCUGUGCUUUGUUUUUUGAACUGUUUUCUGGUAUAUGAGAUACAUAUUUCUGACGAAUUUAGACUUUGAACAAUGCGGCUGAAAAUCAAAUCUUGUCGUUGUUGAGGAGGAGGGGAUGCGAUUGUCUUAUGCUGUAUGAUACAGUGUUGGUUGGGUACAAACUAUCUUCUGUAUGCAAGGACAUGAUAUUUCUGAGAAAUGAUGGUGAUACUGAUGGUCAUCCACAUUGGGUUAAAGGCCCAAGAGUCAGGAUAAGGUUUAAGGCAACUACCUUUUGUCUAGGAAACUGUUUGGCAAUAUAUUUCAGAGUGACCAAAGUUAGCAUUCUACAGUAUUCCACUUUUUUGGCUUUAAUCCCCUUGUAACUGUCAUCCAUCUACGUGUAUGUAGAUUUAAAGAUAAAGGGAUGAAAGGAAUUAAUGAUCUUAUGUGAUAAUCUUCUCAAAGUAUUUUGCUUGCCAAGUUUCAGAUAUAUUCACUAGCAAACGAAUUUUCAUGCGUCAGAUUGUUACUUCCUGAAAUUCAAUUACAUUUUGUGGCUAACUUUGCUAAGCGCAACACCAUUGAUAUGCAUGAGGUGAAAUACUUUUAGCUACAGGCUAUUUGCUUCUGCGAGUCAAAAGAGAAACCAGGAACAUGGAUGGAGUGCAUGCAUAUCAAUUAUACUCCAUUUCAUCUCUUGUGCAAAUAAAAGGUCUUCCUUAAUCCAUAAUUUGCAGGAUGACUGUUUUCCUGGUGUGCAGAAUUCUGCUAGUAUUGAGGGUUUGGUAUGGUCCAACGAUUGUAGAACGUGAUUACUGAAUGCUGAUGGUAGGUAAGAUUGCUAACCUGUUGGAGCUGGAGAUUGACAGCACUGAUUGAGUUUUCCACUUGCUCCAACCAAUUUUGAUUUGCAUGUGAACCCAAUUUCCAAACUUAUUGUUCUCCUUAGGCAGUGUCAGUUGACAGGAUGCCAGUCCUUGCUGGGCCCUACUUAUUAUAGGUUAUGUAUAUGUUUUUACUAACGUUUGGUAGAACAUCUAGUUUAAUGGAACUUCUCUCGGAGGUUUUUGCUUUUCAGAAGUGAGGCUGGUGACCUGGCUAGGCAUAACUUACAAUGUAUCUUGAAUUCUUACAGUUUACAAAUGUGACGCCUCUUGGUUCAAGUCCUCCUCUUCUAUUCUCCUGGCUCUUUCUGAUAGGUUAAUUUUCAGUGCUAAUGCAACUGCUUCAAUUUGAAAGGAUCCCAUUAGUUCCAAGAGUUUGAGGUCACUUGGCUUAAAAUCCUUAAUUUCUGAUGUGGAAAUCUACAGCUUCUGGUGGUUUCCUAUUUGUGUUAUCAUGUUAUCUUGUAAAAGAUUUCAGUUAUAUAUGCUAUAUAAUAAAAGCUUUUUUGCUAGCAAAAAUCAACUUUGUAGUAACUGAAUCCUUAAGUUUGAUGUAUUGGCCUUUUCUGACUUCGGGAUUAUUUGGAUGUUGUCUAUAGACUAACACAAAUUUACAGUAUUUUUGGAUUUGGAGUUUUUCUAAAUAUGUUUUUUGGUGUGGUAUUUUUGGGGUAUUUUUGAUGCAUG